CGCCUCUUGAAAAAUAUAAGAGGUCCAGCCUGCCCAGUGACUCUGUUCAACGGCCGCGGUAUCCUAACCGUGCGAAGGUAGCGUAAUCACUUGUUCUUUAAAUGAGGACUAGUAUGAAAGGCAUCACGAGGGUUAUACUGUCUCCUUUUUCUAAUUAGUGAAACUAAUCUCCCCGUGAAGAAGCGAGGAUUAUUUUAUAAGACGAGAAGACCCUAUGGAGCUUUAAAUAAUAUAACAAUUGCUACCUUAUUUUUAUUAAACUCGUAACAUCUAGCAAUAUGAUUAUUAAUUUUUGGUUGGGGUGACCGCGGAGCAUAACAUAACCUCCACAUUGAAAGGAUAAUACUCCUAAGCUAAAAGCAACAACUUUAAGCAUCAAUAAAUUGACAUUAAUUGACCCAAUAUAUUUGAUCAACGAACCAAGUUACCCUAGGGAUAACAGCGCAAUCUACUUUAAGAGCCCAUAUCGACAAGUAGGUUUACGACCUCGAUGUUGGAUCAGGGUAUCCCAGUGGUGCAGCCGCUACUAAUGGUUCGUUUGUUCAACGAUUAAAACCCU
This 559-nucleotide ribosomal RNA is filed under the name Thoropa miliaris (rock river frog). Its description in RNAcentral is "partial 16S ribosomal RNA". It matches the Rfam family "Bacterial large subunit ribosomal RNA", at positions 1819 to 2597 of the family's 2925-position model. The record is from RNAcentral. Lineage: Eukaryota; Metazoa; Chordata; Amphibia; Anura; Cycloramphidae.